Molecule: ribosomal RNA, 447 nt
Filed under: uncultured bacterium
Lineage: Bacteria
Description: bacterial SSU rRNA
Rfam family: Bacterial small subunit ribosomal RNA
Source: RNAcentral
UGGGGAAUCUUGGACAAUGGGCGCAAGCCUGAUCCAGCCAUGCCGCGUGGAUGAUGAAGGCCUUAGGGUUGUAAAACUCUUUCGUCGGGGACGAUAAUGACGGUACCCGAAGAAGAAGCUCCGGCUAACUUCGUGCCAGCAGCCGCGGUAAUACGAAGGGAGCUAGCGUUGUUCGGAAUCACUGGGCGUAAAGCGCACGUAGGCGGAUAGUUAAGUCAGGGGUGAAAUCCUGGGGCUCAACCCCAGAACUGCCUUUGAUACUGGCUGUCUCGAGGUCGAGAGAGGUUGGUGGAAUUCCUAGUGUAGAGGUGAAAUUCGUAGAUAUUAGGAAGAACACCAGUGGCGAAGGCGGCCAACUGGCUCGAUACUGACGCUGAGGUGCGAAAGCGUGGGGAGCAAACAGGAUUAGAUACCCGAGUAGUCCCUGAGCGGGCUGGCAAGGCGCAU